Molecule: ribosomal RNA, 253 nt
Filed under: uncultured prokaryote
Description: partial 16S ribosomal RNA
Rfam family: Archaeal small subunit ribosomal RNA
Source: RNAcentral
ACCCGCAGCACAAGUGGUGGUCAUUAUUAUUGGGCCUAAAGCGUCCGUAGCAGGCUUGUUAGAUGCCUGGGUAAAUCGAUGCGCUCAACGCAUCGACUUCCGGGUAGACCGGCAAGCUCGAGACCGGGAGAGGCGUGGGCUACUCGAGGGGUAGGGGUAAAAUCCUGUAAUCCUUCGGGGAGGACCAGUGGCGAAGGCGCCACGCUAGAACGGCUCUGACUGUGAGGGACGAAGCCCUGGGGCGCAAACCGGA